UGUAAUUAAAGUCAUGUAGCAGUUUUCUAUAAUCAUCAUAUAUAUACUACUAUAAUUAAAUUUAGUUAAAGUUUUAUCUGCUAGAAAUCAUAUAUAUGUCAAUGAUUCAAGAAUUAGUUUCUACUUUUCCUACCGUAAAAAAAUUCUAUAUAUUCGACAAAAAAAAAAAAAAAACAAUCCUUAAAAAACAAAGUAUCAUAGUAUCAAAGGUACACUGACCAUGUCUAACUUACAAGGCCAGGUCAUGACGCAUGAACAAAAGUAAAUUUAUGAUCGAGUUAAUAUCGUUUUUUUUUUUUUUUUUUUAAAUAUGUGCACAAACACGUCUUUUAUAUCACGAUGAUUUGUGUCAUUGUAAAAGAUGUUUACGAAGUGUUCUUUGGGUUUUAGCCAAAA
Molecule: long non-coding RNA, 396 nt
Filed under: Capsella rubella
Lineage: Eukaryota; Viridiplantae; Streptophyta; Magnoliopsida; Brassicales; Brassicaceae
Description: long non-coding RNA (CRUB_LNC002043)
Source: RNAcentral